UAGAGAGGAGCAUGAUGGGAGUGCAGGGGGUUUUGAUCCCUCAGGAGUAGGUUCGAGUCCUGUCUCUCUAA
Molecule: transfer RNA, 71 nt
Filed under: Platypelis tuberifera (Ambatoharanana giant treefrog)
Lineage: Eukaryota; Metazoa; Chordata; Amphibia; Anura; Microhylidae
Description: tRNA-Gln
Rfam family: tRNA
About the family: Transfer RNA (tRNA) molecules are approximately 80 nucleotides in length. Their secondary structure includes four short double-helical elements and three loops (D, anti-codon, and T loops).
Source: RNAcentral